UGGUGCAAUACACAGUGCCUUGAUUCAGCAUGAUCCAAAGGGAAUGACCCCUGGAAAGAUAGCACUUCUGAGUUGUAGUUAUUGUCAAUGAAAGAUUCUGCUUAUGAUCUUCGAAGAAUGAAAAGAAUCUAAUUUUAUCAAGUCUUGAAAAAAAUAUGAAAAUUCUAAAGAAGCAUUCCUCUAGAUUUAAGAUUUCAAGUGACCUGUGCAUUGACAGAAGGCUUCAGUUUAU
This is a long non-coding RNA of Chiroxiphia lanceolata (lance-tailed manakin), 232 nucleotides long. RefSeq lists it as uncharacterized. The transcript has 3 exons. The record is from RefSeq and is a predicted model, not a curated record. Lineage: Eukaryota; Metazoa; Chordata; Aves; Passeriformes; Pipridae.